UUGUUUACCUUACGUCCACGUUUAUGUCUGGCAUGAUGUUAUCAGUUCGCAUUGGUUUAAAAUCUACUCUAAAAACGGUAAACAAAGUUUACACCAAGUUCUCGUCUUGUAUAUCGGAUAUCGGUAGAGGUACAUAAAUAUAAACUCGGUCAUCGAUAGAUAUAAUCAAUCCGAAUUCAAGAGCAAAACUAAAUUGAAAAAAAGAAAGAAAGAAAUUCACGAUAAUUUCACAACAAAUCUCUAAUUGGAGUAAAUGAUUUACCUAAAUAAAUAUCUAAUGUACAGUGGGUACCGUCCGUAUAAAACUUAUAAAAUAUACUUUCCGGAAUUUUCCAGCCUCCAUUUAUGUAUUACAUGUACGUUACCAGUGACGUCACUGGAAAGAGAAGUCUGACGUCUGCCAAGUUCUAGGGCCAAGCUAACGAUAUGCAUUCCAGGAUGGUGACUGAAGCUCAUCUUUGUAAACACCUAAAUGCCUAAAAUGAACUUCAAAACAGAUUCUGAAAGUUUAACCAGUAUUAAUCUUAUCUUAAAUAUGGACAAAAAGUAUACACUUGGAACACACACAAAAACAGAUGGGUCCAUGCCAAGCUAAAGAUUAAUGCAGAAGAUAAAAGAGAACUGGAGAAGAAUGAAUUGAUGUUAACAUACUCAACAUUAAAUAUGGCUUAAAUCUUAA
Molecule: long non-coding RNA, 679 nt
Organism: Saccostrea cuccullata (small rock oyster)
Lineage: Eukaryota; Metazoa; Mollusca; Bivalvia; Ostreida; Ostreidae
Exons: 4
Source: RefSeq, a predicted model, not a curated record